RNAcentral lists this microRNA precursor (67 nucleotides) under Macacine alphaherpesvirus 1. RNAcentral's name for it is "microRNA hbv-mir-B21RC precursor". Its record names the gene hbv-mir-B21RC. Lineage: Duplodnaviria; Heunggongvirae; Peploviricota; Herviviricetes; Herpesvirales; Orthoherpesviridae. The record is from miRBase by way of RNAcentral.
GGGAGCGCCGGGGUGCGAACCUGGGGCGGAAGGACGCAGAGCCUCGGGGUUGCAGCCCGCGUGCUCG